Molecule: ribosomal RNA, 757 nt
Filed under: uncultured fungus
Lineage: Eukaryota; Fungi
Description: eukaryotic LSU rRNA
Rfam family: Eukaryotic large subunit ribosomal RNA
Source: RNAcentral
CUCGGAUCAGGUAGGGAUACCCGCUNACUUAAGCAUAUCAAUAAGCGGAGGAAAAGAAACCAACAGGGAUUGCCUCAGUAACGGCGAGUGAAGCGGCAACAGCUCAAAUUUGAAAUCUGGCUCUCGGGCCCGAGUUGUAAUUUGUAGAAGAUGUUUCGGGUGUGGCUCCGGUCUAAGUUCCUUGGAACAGGACGUCAUAGAGGGUGAGAAUCCCGUAUGUGACUGGUUGCCUUCGCUCAUGUGAAGCUCUUUCGACGAGUCGAGUUGUUUGGGAAUGCAGCUCAAAAUGGGUGGUAAAUUUCAUCUAAAGCUAAAUAUUGGCCAGAGACCGAUAGCGCACAAGUAGAGUGAUCGAAAGAUGAAAAGCACUUUGGAAAGAGAGUUAAAAGUGUGUGAAAUUGUUAAAAGGGAAGCGAUAGACAUCAGUGCAAUGCCAGUCGACCCGUGGUGGAUGCGUGCGUUUGUUGAGCGGUUAAAGGCCAACGGCGUGCGAGUCCCCUAGUGUCGGCGGCAUGGUCAGCAUCAGUUUGUGGUGCGGGAUAGCAGGUGGGGAAGGUGCAUGCUGGCAACGGCAUGUUUAUAGCCCCACUGAGAGCCGUGCCGUGGACUGAGGAAAGCAGUGGGCCCUUGGGGCGUGCCUCCCGAAUGAGAGGGUGUGGUGCAGCGACUGCAGCAAUGCAUACGAUGUGCCGCACUGCUUCUUUGAUGGCAGGCCACCAGCCUACUAAGGAUGCUGACGAAAUGGUGCCUACCGACC